CCUACGGGAGGCAGCAGUGGGGAAUAUUGGGCAAUGGGCGCAAGCCUGACCCAGCAACGCCGCGUGAAGGAAGAAGGCUUUCGGGUUGUAACCUUCUUUUCUGAGGGACGAAGAAAGUAACGGUACCUAAGAAUUAAGCCAGGGCUAACUACGUGCAAGCAGCCGCGGUAAUACGUAGGUGGCAAGCGUUAUCCGGAUUUAUUGGGUUUAAAGGGCGUGUAGGCGGGAAAGCAAGUCAGAUGUGAAAACUCAGGGCUCAACCCUGAGCCUGCAUUUGAAACUGUUUUUCUUGAGUGCUGGAGAGGCAAUCGGAAUUCCGUGUGUAGCGGUGAAAUGCGUAGAUAUACGGAGGAACACCAGUGGCGAAGGCGGAUUGCUGGACAGUAACUGACGCUGAGGCGCGAAAGCGUGGGGAGCAAACAGGAUUAGAUACCCUUGUAGUC
RNAcentral lists this ribosomal RNA (443 nucleotides) under uncultured bacterium. RNAcentral describes it as "partial 16S ribosomal RNA". It matches the Rfam family "Bacterial small subunit ribosomal RNA", at positions 338 to 795 of the family's 1533-position model. The record is from RNAcentral.